This 217-nucleotide unclassified non-coding RNA is filed under the name Clostridioides difficile. RNAcentral's name for it is "16S-23S ribosomal RNA intergenic spacer (ISR)". The record is from RNAcentral. Lineage: Bacteria; Bacillati; Bacillota; Clostridia; Peptostreptococcales; Peptostreptococcaceae.
ACCUACUGUUUAAUUUUGAGGGUUCGUUUUUACGAAUACUCAAAAUUAGCACUUUAAGCAACGGGAUUUAUCCGUUGGCGCUGUGCUUUAGCACUUUGAAAACUGCAUAUAUAUAUUUAGUGAUAUGACAUCUAAUUUGUAAUAUAUAAAGCUGAUAACUUUUUAAAAUUAUCGAAGUUGAUAGCUUCUAAUCUAUCAAACCUUUUUAACUGGUCAA